Molecule: ribosomal RNA, 237 nt
Filed under: uncultured Lactobacillus sp.
Lineage: Bacteria; Bacillati; Bacillota; Bacilli; Lactobacillales; Lactobacillaceae
Description: partial 16S ribosomal RNA
Rfam family: Bacterial small subunit ribosomal RNA
Source: RNAcentral
GCCCAAGAGAUCGGGAUAACACCUGGAAACAAGAUGCUAAUACCGGAUAACAACAGAUGAUGCCUAUCAACUGUUUAAAAGAUGGUUCUGCUAUCACUCUUGGAUGGACCUGCGGUGCAUUAGCUAGUUGGUAGGGUAACGGCCUACCAAGGCGAUGAUGCAUAGCCGAGUUGAGAUACUGAUCGGCCACAUUGGGACUGAGACNACGGGCCCAAACUCCUACGGGAGGCAGCAGGC